RNAcentral lists this ribosomal RNA (301 nucleotides) under uncultured bacterium. RNAcentral's name for it is "partial 16S ribosomal RNA". It matches the Rfam family "Bacterial small subunit ribosomal RNA", at positions 509 to 807 of the family's 1533-position model. The record is from RNAcentral.
CAGCCGCCGCGGGAAUACGUAGGUGGCAAGCGUUGUCCGGAAUUAUUGGGCGUAAAGGGCUCGCAGGCGGUUUCUUAAGUCUGACGUGAAAGCCCCCGGCUCAACCGGGGAGGGUCAUUGGAAACUGGGAAACUUGAGUGCAGAAGAGGAGAGUGGAAUUCCACGUGUAGCGGUGAAAUGCGUAGAGAUGUGGAGGAACACCAGUGGCGAAGGCGACUCUCUGGUCUGUAACUGACGCUGAGGAGCGAAAGCGUGGGGAGCGAACAGGAUUAGAUACCCGAGUAGUCCCUGUCUCUUAUAC